UGGAAUUUGGCAAUGGGCGCAAGCCUGAUCCAGCAACUGCCGCGUGCAGGAAGAAGGCCCUCGGGUUGUAAACUGCUUUUGUACGGAACGAAAAGGUCCUGGCUAAUAUCUGGGGCUGAUGACGGUACCGUAAGAAUAAGCACCGGCUAACUACGUGCCAGCAGCCGCGGUAAUACGUAGGGUGCAAGCGUUAAUCGGAAUUACUGGGCGUAAAGCGUGCGCAGGCGGCUGUGUAAGACAGGUGUGAAAUCCCCGGAGCUCAACUUGGGAAUUGCACUUGUGACUGCAUAGCUAGAGUACGGCAGAGGGGGAUGGAAUUCCGCGUGUAGCAGUGAAAUGCGUAGAUAUGCGGAGGAACACCGAUGGCGAAGGCAGUCCCCUGGGCCUGUACUGACGCUCAUGCACGAAAGCGUGGGGAGCAAACAGGAUUAGAUACCCUGGUAGUCCACGCCCUAAACGAUGUCAACUGGUUGUUGGGUCUUCACUGACUCAGUAACGAAGCUAACGCGUGAAGUUGACCGCCUGGGGAGUACGGCCGCAAGGUUGAAACUCAAGGGAAUUGACGGAG
This 568-nucleotide ribosomal RNA is filed under the name uncultured bacterium. RNAcentral describes it as "bacterial SSU rRNA". It matches the Rfam family "Bacterial small subunit ribosomal RNA", at positions 357 to 918 of the family's 1533-position model. The record is from RNAcentral.